Molecule: ribosomal RNA, 469 nt
Filed under: uncultured Azospira sp.
Lineage: Bacteria; Pseudomonadati; Pseudomonadota; Betaproteobacteria; Rhodocyclales; Rhodocyclaceae
Description: bacterial SSU rRNA
Rfam family: Bacterial small subunit ribosomal RNA
Source: RNAcentral
GCCUACGGGGGGCUGCAGUGGGGAAUUUUGGACAAUGGGGGCAACCCUGAUCCAGCCAUGCCGCGUGAGUGAAGAAGGCCUUCGGGUUGUAAAGCUCUUUCGGCGGGGAAGAAAUGGCAACGGCUAAUAUCCGUUGUUGAUGACGGUACCCGCAUAAGAAGCACCGGCUAACUACGUGCCAGAAGCCGCGGUAAUACGUAGGGUGCGAGCGUUAAUCGGAAUUACUGGGCGUAAAGCGUGCGCAGGCGGUUUCGUAAGACAGACGUGAAAUCCCCGGGCUCAACCUGGGAACUGCGUUUGUGACUGCGAGGCUAGAGUACGGCAGAGGGGGGUAGAAUUCCACGUGUAGCAGUGAAAUGCGUAGAGAUGUGGAGGAAUACCGAUGGCGAAGGCAGCCCCCUGGGUUAGUACUGACGCUCAUGCACGAAAGCGUGGGGAGCAAACAGGAUUAGAUACCCCAGUAGUCCCC